This is a long non-coding RNA of Apis cerana (Asiatic honeybee), 4337 nucleotides long. RefSeq lists it as uncharacterized. Lineage: Eukaryota; Metazoa; Arthropoda; Insecta; Hymenoptera; Apidae. The record is from RefSeq and is a predicted model, not a curated record.
CCUCUCUACACGCUUCUCGUUUCGCGGCUUAACUUGUAAUUGCAUUCUUACCAUGGAGACUUCAAUGGAAAGAUAAAUAAAAACGAAAUCUCACGCAUCAAUGACGAGAAUCGAGCAAAGGAGAAGGACGAGGAAGCAGAGUCGAUCUCUUUGAUUCCAUUAUUGCUCGACCUAAUUGGAUUCCACCGCGCGAUCGCGGGCUGCAACGUCUAUAAACCCGCGGUCGACGAAACCAAUUUGGGCAUUCCUAUGGAUACGUAGCCGGUGGAUCCGUCGCCGAUCUAUAGAUCACUCGCCGCUACCUGUGCCAGUGAUGGCUUGCCCAAAUUUUCGACCGUGCGAUCUUCGAUCGUGCAAAAGCCGCCUCCGGUAUUCGAGAUACGACCGCGGCUUCAGGGGAAACUCAAUUUUCGUGGGAUGAUAUACAGUGACACUGUUCGAAGAAGAAAAACACUAGAUAAGGAAAGUAGCAGCAAUGGUGGUGCUUCACAGAACCCGUAAAAGUGAUUUGUUCUGCUAUUAACGAGACGCGGAUAGCAGGAACGUUAAUGGAAAAUUAUCGACAGUUACGAGACUCGAUACACCGUUACGACUGGUGAACGUCGUAAAUAACAGUCGCUUAUAUGCUUGAAAAUACCUUAAAGGCGUGCUAGUUUCUUGCACCGUAGCGAGUUAACCUAUAACCGGAAUGCGUCGAGCGAUUUGGAACUCGAAACAUCUUUAAAACGCAAAUUUUUCAAACAUAGAUAAAAGAAACUUAGAAAAUAUUUUGCAUCUUUUUUGAAAAGUGAAGUAUCGCGAAAAAUCGUAAACUUUAUUCUACUUGAAGAAAUAUUUCAUGCUUUAUUUGAAAGAAAGAUAAAGGGAUUAGAGAGCUUUAACCUCGUCAAACUCGAAGAAUGAGAUAUGCCAUUUUCGAAAAAAAGGAAAAAUAUUAUCGAGUCUCGGCAAUCUCUUUUCUAUAAAAAAAAAUCAAAAGAAAAUGGAAAUAUCGAUAUAAAGAUUACGAGUUAGUUAGAAAAACGUAAGAAAGUUCUAUCUUUCUCCGAAAAUAAAGAAUAGAAAAGAAAAAACAGAAAAUCAAAAGCUGUUCAAUUGGUGAGUAAAUAAGAAAGAAAGAAAAAAAUGAAAUAAGGGAUGAAGAGAAAAAGAGAGAAGGAAUAGUGGUGGCAACGUCCCUGAAUGAGAAAGCGGUUCGAUGCACUACACGAUUCUUUCCUCUGCGCACCUCUACUCCGCCUUCCGUGCAGAUGUGUUGCAACACGAGGGGAACCAGUGUACAAGAUAAUGCCAGGAGGAUGUACACUAGAUGGAGAAGAAACGGAAGAUUGAACCGAUUGGAAAGCCCUCCCAGGUGCCAGGCUUCUUCGUUGCUCUGUUUCUUUCUCUCUACCUAUUUCCUGUUUUUUAUUCUAUAAUUAUUCUAUUAUUGUAACUGAUUAGACUGAAUCGUAAGUGACAAUGUUCAAGAAUUCUAUACAUAAAUAAAAUUUUCAUGGUGUUAAAAAGAAUUUUCUUUACCUUUACGUAUGGAAAGUCUCGAAUAUGAUUGUAUAAAAGAAAGUUGAAAUUCGAGGAAUUUUUUUUCAAUUAUGCAAAGUAAACGAUAAAGAAAUCUCGUGAAGAGGAAAAAGCACGUCGAUUAAACGAUUAUCAGCGAUUAUAAGGCGAUUCGAUCGAGCGGAUCAAGAAGAUUCGAAAUCGCUACGAGUCACUCCACUUAAAGCGAUCAAAAUGGUUGAUCGCGACGUCGCUAUCCGCAUUAUUAUCAAUAAGUUCGUCUCGAGAAGCAAUUCGAAUGAAGCUACGCCGACGUUUAUGUCGUGGACCCUCGUCAAUCAUUAUUUACCGACGGGCAACAGUGGUCGCUUGGUUGUCUUCGAUUCCUCUACGCCUUGCCGAGCAAUCGUUUUAUUUUAAAACAAUAAUCUACUAUCUUCUACAUAGAAUAACCUCUACUGAUAUUAACUAUACUAUAUAUAAUAAUUGAUCCUCCCCUUAAAAAAAGAAAAAACAGAAAAUAUAUUUAAUAUUUUAUAUACUUAUAUAAUAAAAUUUAUGUAUAUAUUACAUAUAUAUAAAUUUAUAUGUAUAUUUCAAUAACACAGAAAUUUUUAUUCUGAAUAUGAUCAUAUUUUAUUAAUAUAAAAAAACUAUUAUAAAAUAUUUUUAUAUAUAAAAGAUCAAUCAUUAUAUAAAAAAUAAUAUAUAUGUAUUAAUUCUAUCAAUUCUUUGCAAAAAUCAAAUAUAUUUCUGAACUUUUUCUCUCCUUUUCAGUGACUUAAUGUAAAAUUUAUCGAGCAAUUCGCAAAUGAUUAUGCACAAACAUCGAUGAUUAAACUACGAUACAAAAACUAUUGAAAAUAACCUAAGAAUCUGGAGAGAAAGUUAAUACUUACCCAGCAACCGGUGUCAUUUUCAUCGCAAGCGCCCUGCUAAUGCAAAAUCCGGCGCCACCUGUCGCAAACCAGAAUUUUACCUUUUGCUGCAACAGAAAAAUCAAUCUAGUUAUACGAUAGCGAAAAAAAUUUCUAAUCUUCAAAUAUUCAAGAUCGUGAUCGAUUGUUCACGAGACGCUCGAUCGAUCCCCGUCACGUACACCGAUCAUCGUCCAUGACUUUCCGGAUUGGGGCCACGAUCGAUUACACCUUGACGCAUCGAUAAUCGAUAAUACGCUUCUACCUUCUUUGGGACAAAUUACGAUCGAGCUAUACGGUAACGGUUAGAAUAUUCUAUCUUUGAUUGAAAUUGAUUGACAUUGCAUCAGUGCAUUCUUUUUCCGUCGAUGGAUGAGGAAAGAUUAAGACAAGUGACAGAUAUACAUUGAUCGAGUUUUAGAGAAUCAUCAAGAUAUUCCAUUGGAAAUAGUAUUUUUUAUUAUUGAAUAUACCAUAUAUGAAUUAUGAAAUUGAAGAGAAUUUUCUCAUUCUAUUUAAAAAUUAUAUGAUAGAAAAAUUGCAAUUUUCCUAACAUCAAAUAUUAUAUUGUGUAUCGUUUAUCUCACAAUCGAAUAAGACAAUCUUCCACUCUGGGUGGAAUGGAGAAAACGAGGAUCCUGUUCGAGAAUACUUGAAUGAAAAGGCCAAAAGGAAAAAGGAGAAAGGUGUUUCCGAUUUUCUCAACGACCUGGAAAUUCUAUACGAGAAAAUCAUCUACUCAUGAAACGUAUGGUUACAAGUAGAUUCUUCGAAAAUGAUUAUUUAUAUCAAUGAAAUUUUAUAUAAGGCAUUGAGAAUCAUAUUGACAUAAAUAACAUGAUAAUUACUUUAAGAAAUAUUAGAAAUUAAUAUUUAAGAAAAAAAUAAUUUUUAUUAUAUAUUUUUAUAUUCUUCGAUUUCAAUAUUGAAUAUUGGUUUUAAUUUGUAACUAAUACAUUAAGAUAACUUAACUAGUAGUAAUUUAAAAUAACACGAGAUAAUAGUAUAGUAUAGCAUUUUUCAUUUUUUAUCGACAAUAAGCGGAAUAAUAAACCACUAUAAGUAGAGCAUUACUCUAUUUAUACGAACAUUUUCGUCAUAUAACACAAUUAAAAAUAUACAUUCUAUCCGUGAUAUAAAAUUUUUUCAAAAAUUUUGAAUUUUAAAAAUAUUUUCAAACCGAUCCAAUUUGUAAUAAAUGAUCAUUCGUUCAAAUGUUUCGAAUAUUCAUAGUCUCGGUCGGUAGAAGCGCGCGUACGAAACGGUGCACGGGAGUAUUGUCGGGUUUUUUGAAGGGGACCGGUUUCAUUGGUUAGAUACGCACGUGCAGCAUGCCUCAGUUCACGGUUGUUCGUCAUGUACCACGCCUAGCCUAUGAGGAAAGGAGCACGAGUUCUAGACCGGCGGCGAGAUAGUAUCGCUGCCAUGGAUAUAGUCCAGCACUAAGAGGUUGCCUCUAAUAGCCCCAAGCCACGAGGAGAUCGAGGCUCGACACGCUCGAUUUCCUCCCGAUUUCUCGCGAAUAAAUCUCUUACGAGAAGUGGAAAAAAAAAUUUUAUCCAUUUUUCUCGAUUAUUUAGUUUCACUUUUCGUUUCGUUACACUUUAUUUCGAACAAUUUCGAAAGAAAUCUGUCUACAGAUCUGCUAAGUAUAUUUAUUAUCAUAUAUAUCAUGUUUUUUAAGAGAUAAAAGAAAAAUUGUAUUUUUCUUGAUUCUGAUUGUUAUGCUUCAUUUUUCAUUUUAAAUAAUUUCAUUGUAAAAGUAUUUCUAAUAGAAAUGAUCUAAUAGAAAUUUUAUCUAAUACUUUUUCGAAAAUAUAAUAAUAAUGUAUCAAAUAUUAUAAUAAAUUUAGAAAAUUUUGUAAAUAUGAUCUAUCUAAUAUUUAAUUUGUAAAUAUAAUCUAUCUAAUAUUUAACGAA